This is a long non-coding RNA of Tachyglossus aculeatus (Australian echidna), 528 nucleotides long. RefSeq lists it as uncharacterized. The transcript has 4 exons. NCBI's taxonomy places the organism in Eukaryota, Metazoa, Chordata, Mammalia, Monotremata, Tachyglossidae. The record is from RefSeq and is a predicted model, not a curated record.
UCUCCUCCGUGCCCGCCGGGCAGGAUCGUGACCCCAGAUCCCACGAUUAGGGUCGUGAGCCUGACAGAAGUAACUCUCCACACUAGCAAACCUCCCGGAGGGGGAAGCGCGGCCCAAGCGCGGCCCCCUGAUGCUCCGCCGUGCGCUGUUCAUUACGAACGUGCAGGAGCACCAUCGACCACUCAGGCCAACGGAACGCUGUUGGUGGGAAUCCAGGCACUAGGACCCCCUCAACCAUCACAGAGUUGCUUCAAGACCAUAGAUGUUCCUGGUGAUUUGACAUCUGGUGAUUUAGUUGUUGUCCUCAGCUGUGGACAGAAGGCACAGUGAGAAACCCAGACCUUCAGGAUCACUAAUCCAGAUGUUCCUGCCAAGGUAUUAGGUGUACAUCAGCUAGGACUAACCGAGCAGCUCCAGUUAUUCCCCACCUCCAUCAAAGCGACGCGCCAGGAUCCUGCACCAUGCUGCCAGAGGAGGCCUCGGCGAUGAAUGAACUGAGGCCCAGUUAAGUGACUUGCCCAAAACAAG